CCAUCCCCAAAAGUAUCACUCCUUCUCGUAUCCUUCAGAACAUUCAGGUAUUUGAUUUCAGCUUUAGCCCAGAGGAGAUGAAGCAGCUAGAUGCCUUGAACAAAAAUUGGCGCUACAUUGUGCCCAUGAUUACGGUGGAUGGAAAAAGGGUCCCAAGAGAUACAGGACACCCUCUGUACCCUUUUAAUGACCCAUACUGAGACCAUAGCUUCUCAGAUUCCCUGCAGAGACGUAUUACCUGCACACCCCAGAAAGAGGGGUCAGUAAAGCCAUUGGUACAAUAAAUACCACUGUUUGAUUGUCUGGUCA
Molecule: long non-coding RNA, 309 nt
Organism: Nannospalax galili (Upper Galilee mountains blind mole rat)
Lineage: Eukaryota; Metazoa; Chordata; Mammalia; Rodentia; Spalacidae
Exons: 3
Source: RefSeq, a predicted model, not a curated record